Ribosomal RNA from Cajanus cajan (pigeon pea), 117 nucleotides. NCBI's taxonomy places the organism in Eukaryota, Viridiplantae, Streptophyta, Magnoliopsida, Fabales, Fabaceae. The record is from Rfam.
AUUUGCCAUCCCUAGCACUAAUGCACCUGAUCCCAUCAGAACUCCGCAGUUAAGCGUGCUUCAGUGAGAUUAGUACUAGGAUGUGUGACCUCCUAGGAAGUCCGCGUGUUGCACCUC